GACGAACGCUGGCGGCGUGCCUAAUACAUGCAAGUCGAGCGAGCGGAACCAACAGAUUUACUUCGGUAAUGACGUUGGGAAAGCGAGCGGCGGAUGGGUGAGUAACACGUGGGGAACCUGCCCCUAAGUCUGGGAUACCAGUUAGAAAUGACUGCUAAUACCGCAUAAGACCACAGCACCGCAUGGUGCAGGGGUAAAAACUCCGGUGGUAUGAGAUGGAUCCGCGUCUGAUUAGCUAGUUGGUAAGGUAACGGCUUACCAAGGCAACGAUCAGUAGCCGACCUGAGAGGGUGACCGGCCACAUUGGGACUGAGACACGGCCCAA
Molecule: ribosomal RNA, 325 nt
Filed under: uncultured bacterium
Lineage: Bacteria
Description: bacterial SSU rRNA
Rfam family: Bacterial small subunit ribosomal RNA
Source: RNAcentral